This 901-nucleotide ribosomal RNA is filed under the name uncultured organism. RNAcentral describes it as "bacterial SSU rRNA". It matches the Rfam family "Bacterial small subunit ribosomal RNA", at positions 563 to 1460 of the family's 1533-position model. The record is from RNAcentral.
AAGGGCACGCAGGCGGUUCGUUUAAGUCGAAGGUGAAAUGCGUGGGCUCAACUCAGGAACUGCCUUCGAUACUGGCGAACUAGAGUGGCGUAGAGGAAAGCGGAACUCCUGGUGUAACGGUGGAAUGUGUAGAUAUCAGGAGGAACACCGGUGGCGAAGNCGGCUUUCUGGACGCACACUGACGCUCAGGUGCGAAAGCGUGGGUAGCAAACAGGAUUAGAUACCCUGGUAGUCCACGCCGUAAACGAUGGGUACUAGGUGUCGGGGGUAUCGAUCCCCUCGGUGCCGAAGUCAACGCAUUAAGUACCCCGCCUGGGGAGUAUGGUCGCAAGGCUGAAACUCAAAGGAAUUGACGGGUCCCCGCACAAGCGGUGGAGCAUGUGGUUUAAUUCGACGCAACGCGAAGAACCUUACCUGGGCUUGACAUGCUUGGGACAGCGCUGGAAGCAGCGUCUCUCCUUCGGGAGUCCUUGCACAGGUGCUGCAUGGCUGUCGUCAGCUCGUGUCGUGAGAUGUCGGGUUAAGUCCCUCAACGAGCGCAACCCUCGUUACUAGUUGCCAUCAGUUCGGCUGGGCACUCUAGUGAGACUGCCGGUGACAAACCGGAGGAAGGUGAGGAUGAUGUCAAGUCAUCAUGGCCCUUACGCCCAGGGCUACACACGUGCUACAAUGGUCGGCACAAAGGGCAGCCAAACCGCGAGGUGGAGCUAAUCCCAUAAAGCCGGCCCCAGUACGGAUUGGAGUCUGCAACUCGACUCCAUGAAGGCGGAAUCGCUAGUAAUCGCGGAUCAGCAUGCCGCGGUGAAUAUGUUCACCGGGGAUUGUACACACCGCCCGUCAUAUCACCCGAGCCGGGGAUACCCGAAGUCCGUGACCCAACCAUUUGGAGGGAGCGGCCGAA